Molecule: long non-coding RNA, 3228 nt
Filed under: Sus scrofa (pig)
Lineage: Eukaryota; Metazoa; Chordata; Mammalia; Artiodactyla; Suidae
Description: lncRNA (ENSSSCG00035053972.1)
Source: RNAcentral
UUUUUUUUUUUUUUUUUUUUUAGGGCUGCACCCAUGGCAUUUGGAAGUUCCAGGCUGGGGUCAAAUCAGAGCUGUAGAUGCCAGCCUAUACCACGGCCACAGCAAUGCCAGAUCCAAGCCAUGUCUGUUAUCUACACCACAGCUCAUGGCAAUGCUGGAUAUCCUUAAUCCACUGAGUGAGGCCAGGGAUUGAACCCGCAUCCUGAUGGAUACUUGUCAGAUUCGUUUCCACUGAGCCACAACGUGAACUCCCAUACUUUUUAGUAAAAGGGGGCUCAACCAUCCACCCACUCUUUUCCUUCCCCAUCCCUGCUCCCUACACUCUUUCAGCAAACGCAGUUUGAACACCAAUGGUUUGCUGGGCACCACGCUAGGCGUGAUUACAGGAUCAUGCAGGAGGGUAUCUGCCCCUUGCUGAGCUGGUGCUCUUCUGAGAGAGCUGCACACCAGAGUGUCUGUCCAGAAUGCCACAGGGCGUGUCAUCUCACUGUUGUCACAAGAGACCAAGCACAUCCAGAGAACGUAAUGAUGAACGGGGUGGGGAGAGAUGGAGGUGGUCAGAACACUAGGAAGAAUUUUCAUAAAAGAAGUGAACUUUCUACUAAGACUUGCCACAUGAGAAUACUUCAAAGGUAAAAAAGAGAUGAAGAAUGAGCCAAGGGUAGUUCCCGUUGUGCUCAGUGGAUUAAGAACCUAACAUAGGGUCCAGCUAUGAGGAUGCAGCUUUGAGCCCCUGCCCCGCUCGUGGGUUAGGGAUCCUGCAUUGCUACUGGCUGUGGCGUAGGCUGGCAGCUGCAGCUCUGAUUCGACCCCUAGCCUGGGAACCUCCAUAUACCGCAGGUGCAGCCCUAAAAAGAAAAAGAAUAGGGUAACAAAUGCCCUAUGAGAGGAGUAUCUGGGGGGCCUGUGAGAGGCCGAAUGCUGAGUGGAGGUGGUGGUGAGGGGUGGGAUGCAGGGCUGGGAAAGCAGGCUGGGCUUCGGAGGAAGAUCUCCUCCUCUGCCUGUGCCCCAUGUGGCCAAGAAAAUGACACAUCAGGGGUCACCUGAGCAGAGAGGCGCAGUUCAGAAUUAACCCUGGACUCCUGUGCCCUAUAUCCCGGUCCUUGAGUAUGAAAAUAUUCACAAGUAUUGAAGCUCUGGGGAAAGGGUUUUGGGUUUGUUUGUUUGUUUGUUUUUCAGGAGAAAGCGGUGGAGAAGGAACAGAAAGUUAGAUAAAAUGACAGCAAUUACAAUUCGCUAGAUGGAUUGUUAAUUUUGAAGCAUUAAAUAUUAAACAAUUUGCAUAUAACAUGAUUAAGUUCAGAGUAUUUAGAGACAGAGGAAGAAAAAAAGCUUUCUGUUUGCCUGCUUAUACGCUCAAAAUUUCAGGGAAAGCCCAGAAAAGAACUCAGGGAAAAAAUAUUUUUCUUCUUGAUUUUUUCUUUUUUGGCCAUACCCGCAGCAUAUGGAAGUUCCCAGGCCAGGGGUUGAAUCCUAGCCUGAGGAUGUGCGACCUACGCCACAGGAUCCUGAACGCACUGUGCUGGGCCGGGGAUGAAACCCGCAGGACAACACCAGAUCAUUAUCCCACUUCACAACUCCAUUUUUUUCCUGGUCACUUUCUUUCCUCUCAUCGCACGCAGUCAGGAAGCUGAGGACUCAUCUGGAAAGGUCUGGGAUACAUUUCCCUUACUGACCGGACAGGACGCUUUUCUCCCACAGGUCUGCCUGCCUCCGCACUCCCACCCAGCCCCUCCUUCUCAACCCUCAAGGGCACAGAAGCGCUAACAUUCAGAUUCCUGGCCCAGGCACCCAGCCAAACCCUCUAAAGGAGGCCUGGGUUGAGGGUCCUGGAACCCAUAGUUACACCAGCUCCUCAGGCGAAUGGAGCAGAAAUCACUGCCCCCUGGGAGCCUGGACCAAAUCCAGACCUGGCAGGAGGUGGGAGGUGCCAGGGAGGGGGUUGUGGAGAAGCUGUCGGGCUGAGAGGAGGCAGGGGUGGCGUGGGGUGUCGGGGGGGCACAGGGAGGCCCAUUCCCAAAGCUCAGGGGUGGCUGGCUUUGCCGCGAUGUGAUGGCCAUGCUGUGUGGAAUGGCCCGGCUGGAGGACACCUCGUGGGGAGGGCCACUGCAGAAACUGUGGACUCUGGUCCAGAGGACAGGGUAGCUGCAAACCUGGGUUAUCUAGAGGCCACCUGGGUGGGAGGAGGCUGGGGCAAACGUCCCCCGUCCUAAUGCACAUGCCUGCCAGCAAAAUAGAUGGGGGUGCAGCACACGUGCCUGCUUGUACAGCAUUCACAGUUUCACUUGGGGCAUUCACAACAUAAUGUCUCUGAAAAAGACAAGUCUUACAGGGAGUUCCUGUUAUGGCUCAGCGGGUUAUCCAUGAGGAUGCAGGUUCGAUCCCUGGCCUCGCUCAGUGGAUUAAGGAUCCAGCAUUGCGGUAGGCUGGUAUCCAUGAGGAUGCAGGUUCGAUCCCUGGCCUCGCUCAGUGGAUUAAGGAUCCAGCAUUGCGGUAGGCUGGUAUCCAUGAGGAUGCAGGUUCGAUCCCUGGCCUCGCUCAGUGGAUUAAGGAUCCAGCAUUGCGGCUGUGACUUAGGUUGCAGAUGUGGCUGGCAUCCCGCAUGGCUGUGGCUGCGGUGUUGGCCAGCAGCUGAAGCUCCGAUCUGAUCCCUAGCCUGAGAAAUUCCAUAUGCCUCGGGUGCAGUCUUAAAAAGCAAAAAAAGAAGUCUAACAGACUUUUUUCCACCUCUAACAACACAGUUUCAUAAACAGUAUGGACUCCUUCUAUUUUAGAAAGCCUUGGGGGAGAGAGGUCUGAAUUUAGACAGCUUUGCCAGUAGUCUCUCCUCCCAUAAGGUCAGGAGAGGCUACUUUAUAAUUUCUCCACUUUUCAAGCCCAAUCUGACCCCACGGACGGCUGACCAGACUCAACCCCCAGAUCCACAGCUGGAGGGGAGGCCUGGUUCCCGACUCUGCAUGACAAAGGGCAGCUGCCCUUCCUCCCGACAGUUGAUGAGACCCUUGAAAAAAAGUCUCCCAAUCCACAUUCGCCUUCUUCUCUGGGCCACCAGCUAAUUGCCCAAUUAUUUUAUUUCCCCAGCAAAACUCUUCAGUCCUCCCUGGAAUCCACAUUCAGGACUCGGAGGCUCUGGAGUCUGGGGGCUUUGCCCUCCGUCUGUCUGCUCCUCCCGCCUCCCCAGCCCAGAUCCGACCGACCCUGGAUCGACUGAGCCCCCAGCUUGCUUGG